GCCCGGCUAGCUCAAUGGCAGAGCGCUGAACUUCUACUGUCACUCAAAUGAAUGUGUUGUGAAUUCAGAGGCUGGGGGUUCGAGUCCCCCGUUGGGCU
Molecule: non-coding RNA, 98 nt
Organism: Daldinia caldariorum
Lineage: Eukaryota; Fungi; Ascomycota; Sordariomycetes; Xylariales; Hypoxylaceae
Source: the annotation of a RefSeq genome assembly